AUGCUUAGGAGGAUGUUCCAAGGUGGUCCUUCAAGGAAGCAAGGUCCCAGGCUUGCAAUACGUGAUGCUGAUGAGGAACCACCAAGAGACGCUCCUGUGAGGCCUUGUGAAUGGCCAUCGGAAAAUUUUAUGAAGCAAGUAGGAAUCAAAGAAGAAUUUAUCACAUAUUUGAGUAACGCCUGUCUUGAGGACUUUGAAGCUGACAAAUGCCCCCAGUAUUAUGAUCUCACAAGUUCAUUUGUGAAGAGGUUUGAGUUUUCAUCUUCGCGUAAUUCUCCUUCAGUCAUGUUUGACCUUUAUGACAAAUCCUAUACCAUGGACUUAGAGGAUUUUACCUCUGCUUGCAAACUUCCAUCUUGGGGUAAUGUCAGGGAUCCCCCUAAAUCUGAAUAUAGAGACUUUCUUACUAAAAUAACUGUAGGGGAAUCUAGAGAUAUAAUGUAA
RNAcentral lists this ribosomal RNA (444 nucleotides) under Triticum aestivum (bread wheat). RNAcentral describes it as "partial small subunit ribosomal RNA". The record is from RNAcentral. Lineage: Eukaryota; Viridiplantae; Streptophyta; Magnoliopsida; Poales; Poaceae.